This 460-nucleotide ribosomal RNA is filed under the name uncultured bacterium. RNAcentral's name for it is "partial 16S ribosomal RNA". It matches the Rfam family "Bacterial small subunit ribosomal RNA", at positions 338 to 795 of the family's 1533-position model. The record is from RNAcentral.
CCUACGGGAGGCUGCAGUGAGGAAUAUUGGUCAAUGGACGAGAGUCUGAACCAGCCAAGUAGCGUGAAUGAUGACUGCCCUAUGGGUUGUAAACUUCUUUUAUAUGGAAGUAAAAUGUUCCACGUGUGGGAGUUUGUAUGUACCAUAUGAAUAAGGAACGGCUAACUCCGUGCCAGCAGCCGCGGUAAUACGGAGGAUCCGAGCGUUAUCCGGAUUUAUUGGGUUUAAAGGGAGCGUAGUUGGAUUGGUAAGUCAGUUGUGAAAGUUUGCGGCUCAACCGUAGAAUUGCAGUUGAAACUGGCAGGCUUGAGUACAGUAGAGGUGGGCGGAAUUCGUGGUGUAGCGGUGAAAUGCUUAGAUAUCACGAAGAACUCCGAUGGCGAAGGCAGCUCACUGGACUGCAACUGACACUGAGGCUCGAAAGUGUGGGGAUCAAACAGGAUUAGAUACCCUUGUAGUC